CUGUUUAUUUAUAGCUCUGUAUGGAUGUAGCCUCUCCGCUGUGCCAAAAGCUCAUAUUCUAGGGACAAGCCCAACCAAAGGUUUCUGCGGGUCAAGCCGGCUCGGAGCACAGCACGCCUGAAUUUAGCUCUCCUGCCUCUCGGGGGAUGCAUGCACAGAGCUGUCCGAGGGCGCACCUUUGGUUGCGGGUGCUGUUGCACGUCAACUAGAAAGAGAAAGGGAAGAAGCAAGGACGCAGCGCUGCCGGCCUUCCCGUACCGAACGGGGAAACCGGUUCCUUCUUAUUUAACGGGCGGAAUUGAGGAAAAGCAAGCAGUUCCUGGAAAGCGAGCCCUCGCUCCCCGCCGCUUCGGGAAGAGUUUGGGUUUCACCCAGCCACCACCGCAGCGAGCGAGCCCAGGCUGCCGGCACCGGCUUACCCCGCAUCCCCCCAGCCCCGCCGCUCACCCACCUUGAGCUAAGACUUGACGAAAAUCCUUUCUCCGGCGCUUUGCAGCAGCCGCCGCAUCACCUCCUCGCUGGCGGCAGGCACCGAGCUCGCCCAGAGGCAGUGCCGAGCAUCCCGGGCACCCAGCGAGCUCCUGGCUGUGGCUCCGAAAAACACGGGGGCCGUCCUUUCGGGGUCCGCGGCAUCGGAGCCCUUGCGUUUAUUUGCAAAGAGCCCGGAGAACCCCUAAAAAAAAAAAAAAACAAAAAAAAACAAGGGAGCGGAGCUGGAGCGUGGGAAAGCGGCGCGGCGGCGGCGGGGAUGCUCCGGGCUCCUCCGCUCGGCUCCCCGGUGUGUCACGGGCAGCUGGUGACGCCACCGACAACGUCAUCGUGCAACAAGUGACGUCGUUUGGCGAGAGCUGCUGCAGCGGGGGAGAAAAGACCCGAGGGAGAGCCGGGGCUGCGGGGGCAGGAGGGCAGCGCCCCGCCGCGGGGCAGCAGCGGAGUGCCGGGGGUGGUGGUGGAGUUAUUUCGGUUUGUUUUAACCAUCCAGAAGCUAAACAAGCCUCCUUUGCUGAAAUCCUGGAGCGAGAGAUGCUGUGUUUCAUCCGAAGAAAUAUUAUCACGAGAAUAUUAAAUGUUAGGGAUGAUAGGAAUCAGGAAGGGAUGUCGCCGCUCUCCCUUGGGUCCAGUUACAACUUUCAAGACUACGCCAUAAUUCCAGCUUCUCUUAGCUUCUCAAUGUGUUUUAGUCCUGUGAUGAAAGGGGAACUGCUCGGGACUGAUUUAUGAGUACUCUGGUUUGACUCGGUUGCCCCACGAAAAUAACACUUCAAAUCAAAAGGAAAAUGAAAGGAAAAAGUAUGGCUCAAGAUAAGCCACUUUCCUGCAAACAAUAGCUGAGAGACAGUGCCAGGCUUCUUUGCACUGGAGGGGAAGAGAAUUAGGGAGGUGGAGAAAGGAGCACAUUCACAAAAGGCUGGGAAUUAGCUGGCAGAGUUAAUCCGAGACACUUCAGUGCCUGGCAGAGUCCAGUUUGCUUUGGAAAUUUACCUUGCAAAUUUCACAUCACAAAUACCAAAAUAUAGAUUAUUUUUGCUUAUUUUAUGAUUUUUUCCCCACCAAAUGCUUUAUUUUUUGAAGGGUCUUUUUGUAUGUUCAUGCAUCGUCAGCCAUGAGCUCCCAAAGGUGAGGAUGAGGAGCUGAACUCAGCCUGGAUCCCCAGUAAAGAGAAGCCAGGCUCGGAACAAUUACAGGCUCACAGCGGGGCAGGGUGGCCUUGGAUCAGGAGGGGGACUGGAGAGCAGAUACCUCCAUAAAUGCCUACCCUUGUGUUCCUCUCCUCAAAGUAUACAGGCUAGUUAUCCCCUGCACUCAGAGGCAGCACCAGUCCAAGGAGGCGUCGUAAUAAAGUGCCUCGUUUACAUUGAUACUCGCACAAAAUAGCCUGGGACCAAAAACAACAGCAGCACACAUCGGGCUGAGACGAAUGCUCGGUCACGCCAAGAUCCCUUUAGGUUUUUCUGGCGGUAUAAAGCACUCAGUAACAAAGCCGUGCAGUACCAGGAACCCUGCCGGGCACGUGCCUGGCUGGGUGCAGAUGGCAGAUUUCUGUGGCCUGAGCCCAGCUGCGGCAGCUUGGCUGGGUUCCUCCGUCCUCUGCUGUCUGUGUCCAACACCAUUUGGAGGUCCCUGGAAGAGGGGCAUAAAUGGGCUUGGCAAGAGUGAGAAUAGGACCCUAAUAUGACAGCUAAGUACAUACCACAGAAAUCUCUGUUGGGCUAGGCAAAUGCCCAGUAAGGGCUGCUGAUAUCAUAUUUCUUAUUUAUUUAUAUCAAACCAUUUUUUCCCUUUACUUAAAUCUCACUGAUGGUUCUCAUAGGAACGUGCAGGCACCGACUAUCGCGCUUAACCUAAUUCUCUCCCAUUCUUUUUAUUUGCUUGUAAUGUCCAAUUGUUGUCUCUUAUCGUAAAUUAGUCAUACACUCCCUGGUGGGGGAACAGUUUCUUAUAUGCUUGUGUGACUCUUAACAUAAUAGGACGCCUGGGUGUUGGUUGAAUAAUACAAAUAAUCAGACAUAACACUUCUACAACAAA
Anas platyrhynchos (mallard) is the source of this 2526-nucleotide long non-coding RNA. RefSeq lists it as uncharacterized. The record is from RefSeq and is a predicted model, not a curated record. Lineage: Eukaryota; Metazoa; Chordata; Aves; Anseriformes; Anatidae.